RNAcentral lists this long non-coding RNA (407 nucleotides) under Helianthus annuus (common sunflower). RNAcentral describes it as "sRNA HanXRQr2_Chr06g0251891". The record is from RNAcentral. Lineage: Eukaryota; Viridiplantae; Streptophyta; Magnoliopsida; Asterales; Asteraceae.
AAAAAAGGGGAGUAGGAAGAACAAAGAAGCAUCUUCUUCUUUCUUCUGAAGAAUCUCCAAAUUCCAUCUUUUUGUGUUGUUGAAAUACAUUUAUAGAUCAUAAAUUGUACAACGUAUACUUGCUCUUCCGAUCAGAAUCAUAACCUCCACAUCCCUCUUUAUGAUAACAAUCGACCCCUCAAAUCUCAAUCUUGAACUCAGAUCUCCUGUUUUACACUUCACCAACUCAUCUUUAUGCUCAAAAUCCAACAAAAGCAGUCUUUCAUAAGUGAGGAAUGAUUGAAGAUCGAGUCAGGACGCGGAUAGACGGGGGCGUGGUCACGUAGUCAAUUGAAGUUGUGAUUCUGUUGAAUGUAAUAAGAAAGAAUGAACGAUGUAACACCGAAAUAAUAUUUAUAUAAUGGUUU